CCUACGGGAGGCAGCAGUGGGGAAUCUUGCGCAAUGCGCGAAAGCGUGACGCAGCAACGCCGCGUGGGCGAAGAAGGCCUUCGGGUCGUAAAGCCCUUUCAGCGGGGACGAAGCUCCGGCGGCGAAUAGCCGUCCGGAGUGACGGUACCCGCAGAAGAAGCCCCGGCUAACUACGUGCCAGCAGCCGCGGUAAUACGUAGGGGGCUAGCGUUGUCCGGAAUCAUUGGGCGUAAAGCGCGCGUAGGCGGCCAGAUAAGUCCGGUGUGAAAGUCAAAGGCUCAACCUUUGAAUGCCGCUGGAAACUGUCUGGCUAGAGUCCGGAAGGGGCGAGUGGAAUUCCUGGUGUAGCGGUGAAAUGCGCAGAUAUCAGGAGGAACACCAAUGGCGAAGGCAGCUCGCUGGGACGGUACUGACGCUGAGGCGCGAAAGCGUGGGGAGCG
Molecule: ribosomal RNA, 440 nt
Filed under: uncultured bacterium
Lineage: Bacteria
Description: bacterial SSU rRNA
Rfam family: Bacterial small subunit ribosomal RNA
Source: RNAcentral